RNAcentral lists this long non-coding RNA (1184 nucleotides) under Mus spicilegus (steppe mouse). RNAcentral describes it as "lncRNA (ENSMSIG00000030781.1)". Lineage: Eukaryota; Metazoa; Chordata; Mammalia; Rodentia; Muridae. The record is from RNAcentral.
CUGUGAAUGGCUGCGUCUCCCACAGCCCGUCUCCUCUGCUCCGGAGAGCCCAGAUCUCCAUGCAGGGUCAAAAGCAAAGGCAGGGGAAAUGCUGCGUGUGCUUGGUGACAAACACAUCGUUCUCAAAGAAUUAAAGAAUGCAUGUGUAGGAAAUGUUAUCGUAGGGUGGCACUAGUGGCAAGGGGGCACAGUCACGGAUGUCGCUGCCAUCAGGUCUGAGUUGGCCUCUGCACCCUCUGGAAGGAUUGGAAAGCAUAUCUGAAAGGAGUCAGAUAACAGCAAACAGCUACAGAGUUGGUGGCUGGACUUGGCGUUUUUCUGGAAGCUCUGGAAGUCUGAAACCCAGGAGUUUGCAAGGCUGGUACUUGAUGGAGAAUGGGAAAGGGUCCCUGUCCCAUAUUUCUCUCUGGUGUCUGCUGGCUGCUGACAAUCCUAGCACCCCUUUGAUCUGUACCCUCAACAUUCCACCAUCCCUACAUCUGCACUGUGGCCUUCUCUGUGCCAAAGCUUUCUCUUCUCUCCCUUGCAAAUACAACUGUUAAGGCCCACACUUAGCCCAGGAUGACCUCAUCCAGAGACUCUUGGCUUUAGAACAUUGGGAAGAUCCUAUUUCUAAGUGAGUUCAUGUUCACACAUAUUUGGGUUUAGUAUGUGAACAUCUUCUUUUGGAGAGAAACACAGUUCAACCUACUAUGAAGACUCAACAAAUGCCAUUGGGAAAAGCAUGGGCUACUGCUACAACCAAGGAUAGUCACUGUCAGUGGAAGAUGAGGCAACAGCAAUGCAAUCUUAGAGCUUAUUUUAGAGGACAAUGGUCUCAUAGAAAGUCUGUGUUGGACAUAGAGGUACUAAGAAUGGAGGACUCCAACCCUGGCAUUUGAAUGUUUGAGAACUCCUGAGAUAUCCUCCUGAUAGUCUACUCCGCCCACUAACAUCUGUGGAUCCCAGUAGGAAAGACUUUUGUAUGCUGGCUGGUAUUUCAAAUGCUGCAGCUCCUAGCCUGCAGUUCAUGGAGUUGCCCAACAUAGCUCCCCAAAAAGAACUCCCAAAAAGUCCAACAAAACAGACAAAAGCAAGCUAACCCUACCUUGUCCCUCUUUCUUCUUCAAAGUCCUAUGUGGUCUUGUCUUUCUGGGAAUACCACCUGCUGUGAGUUCUCAAUAAACUUUCACUGGUAAAUAUUG